Molecule: ribosomal RNA, 521 nt
Filed under: uncultured bacterium
Lineage: Bacteria
Description: bacterial SSU rRNA
Rfam family: Bacterial small subunit ribosomal RNA
Source: RNAcentral
GACGAACGCUGGCGGCGUGCUUAACACAUGCAAGUCGAACGGACCUUAUCGAUGAGCUUGCUUUUUGAUAAGGUUAGUGGCGGACGGGUGAGUAACACGUGGAUAAUCUACCUUCUACACCGGGAUAACACUGUGAAAACGGUGCUAAUACCGGAUAUGGUCACUGAUGCGAUGCACUGGUGAAGAAAAGGGUAACCUGGUAGGAGAUGAGUCCGCGGCUGAUUAGCUAGUUGGGGGGGUAAGAGCCCACCAAGGCGAUGAUCAGUAGCCGGCCUGAGAGGGUGAACGGCCACACUGGGACUGAGACACGGCCCAGACUCCUACGGGAGGCAGCAGUAGGGAAUUUUCCGCAAUGGACGGAAGUCUGACGGAGCGACGCCGCGUGGGGGAAGAAGGCCUUCGGGUUGUAAACCGUCUGUCUUCAGGGACGAAGAGGGUGUGGGAGACACACCGAAGCCGGUACCUGAGGAGGAAGCCCGGCUAACUACGUGCCAGCAGCCGCGGUAACGUGCUACGUAGAC